This is a non-coding RNA of Pelobates cultripes (western spadefoot toad), 209 nucleotides long. Lineage: Eukaryota; Metazoa; Chordata; Amphibia; Anura; Pelobatidae. The record is from the annotation of a GenBank genome assembly.
GUGUCAGCAGUGCGGUGUGUGUGUGUGUGUGUGUGUGUGUGUGAGUGUCAGGGGUGCAGUGUGUGUGUGUGUGUGUCAGGGGUGCAGUGUGUGUGUGUGUGAGUGUGAGUGUCAGGGGUGCAGUGUGUGUGUGUGAGUGUCAGGGGUGCAGUGUGUGUGUGUGUGUGUGUGUGAGUGUCAGGGGUGCAGUGUGUGUGUGUGUGUGUGUG